ACGGCCAUACCAUGCUGAAUAUACCGGUUCUCGCUUCAAACAAAAGAUCACCGAAGUCAAGCAUCAUUGGGCGCGGUCAGUACUUGGGUGGGUGACCACCUGGGAACACCGCGUGCAGU
Non-coding RNA from Caerostris extrusa, 119 nucleotides. The record is from the annotation of a GenBank genome assembly. NCBI's taxonomy places the organism in Eukaryota, Metazoa, Arthropoda, Arachnida, Araneae, Araneidae.